AUUAAACGCUGGCGGCAUGCCUUACACAUGCAAGUCGAACGGCAGCACGGGGCGAACCUGGUGGCGAGUGGCGAACGGGUGAGUAAAGCAUCGGAACGUGCCCUGGAGUGGGGGAUAACGUAGCGAAAGUUACGCUAAUACCGCAUAUUCUGUGAGCAGGAAAGCAGGGGAUCGCAAGACCUUGCGCUCUGGGAGCGGCCGAUGUCGGAUUAGCUAGUUGGUGGGGUAAAGGCCUACCAAGGCGACGAUCCGUAGCGGGUCUGAGAGGAUGAUCCGCCACACUGGGACUGAGACACGGCCCAGACUCCUACGGGAGGCAGCAGUGGGGAAUUUUGGACAAUGGGCGGAAGCCUGAUCCAGCCAUGCCGCGUGAGUGAAGAAGGCCUUCGGGUUGUAAAGCUCUUUCGGCCGGGAAGAAAUCGCAUGGGUCAAUACCCUGUGUGGAUGACGGUACCGGAAUAAGAAGCACCGGCUAACUACGUG
This 483-nucleotide ribosomal RNA is filed under the name uncultured bacterium. RNAcentral's name for it is "bacterial SSU rRNA". It matches the Rfam family "Bacterial small subunit ribosomal RNA", at positions 29 to 507 of the family's 1533-position model. The record is from RNAcentral.